RNAcentral lists this small RNA (106 nucleotides) under Arabidopsis thaliana (thale cress). Its description in RNAcentral is "ATSL031580". The record is from RNAcentral. Lineage: Eukaryota; Viridiplantae; Streptophyta; Magnoliopsida; Brassicales; Brassicaceae.
UAUUUUUUAUAGUUUACAAUUGUUAUUAAGUAACGUUCUUCCAAAUCCGUCUCGCCAAACCCAUCCCGUAAAAAACGUCUGCAAUACACCGCUAAUAUAAAUAUAU